AUCUAAAGUGAUUCCCUUUCCAAGGGGCCUGCUUGUGCCCCUCUUCAGGAAAGUAGCAACUUGGAAUAAAUCUGGCAUGCCUUAGGCUGUUGGGGGAGAAGGGAUGUUUUUCCCUUUGCCUUCCUUUGGCUACCUACACAU
RNAcentral lists this small nucleolar RNA (141 nucleotides) under Zalophus californianus (California sea lion). Its description in RNAcentral is "Small nucleolar RNA SNORA67 (ENSZCAG00015019758.1)". It matches the Rfam family "Small nucleolar RNA SNORA67". From Rfam's summary of the family: U67 belongs to the H/ACA class of snoRNAs which are thought to guide the sites of modification of uridines to pseudouridines. The record is from RNAcentral. Lineage: Eukaryota; Metazoa; Chordata; Mammalia; Carnivora; Otariidae.